AAACUUUCAACAACGGAUCUCUUGGUUCUGGCAUCGAUGAAGAACGCAGCGAAAUGCGAUAAGUAAUGUGAAUUGCAGAAUUCAGUGAAUCAUCGAAUCUUUGAACGCACAUUGCGCCUAUUAGUAUUCUAGUAGGCAUGCCUGUUCGAGCGUCAUU
This 157-nucleotide ribosomal RNA is filed under the name Calluna vulgaris root associated fungus. RNAcentral describes it as "5.8S ribosomal RNA". It matches the Rfam family "5.8S ribosomal RNA". From Rfam's summary of the family: 5.8S ribosomal RNA (5.8S rRNA) is a component of the large subunit of the eukaryotic ribosome. It is transcribed by RNA polymerase I as part of the 45S precursor that also contains 18S and 28S rRNA. The record is from RNAcentral. RNAcentral also lists the same sequence under 3 other names. Lineage: Eukaryota; Fungi.